UAUCCAUGAGGAGGGCAUCUUAUCAAUAGUUCCUGAAAUCUCUCCCAACCCUCUGAGAACUUCUCAUCCUCCUCUUGAGUAAAAGAACUGAUCUCCUUUAUGUACU
This is a small nucleolar RNA of Alnus glutinosa, 106 nucleotides long. The record is from RefSeq and is a predicted model, not a curated record. Lineage: Eukaryota; Viridiplantae; Streptophyta; Magnoliopsida; Fagales; Betulaceae.